UGCGUAGGGUGCGAGCGUUGUCCGGAAUUACUGGGCGUAAAGAGCUCGUAGGUGGUUUGUCGCGUUGUUCGUGAAAUCUCACGGCUUAACUGUGAGCGUGCGGGCGAUACGGGCAGACUGGAGUACUGCAGGGGAGACUGGAAUUCCUGGUGUAGCGGUGGAAUGCGCAGAUAUCAGGAGGAACACCGGUGGCGAAGGCGGGUCUCUGGGCAGUAACUGACGCUGAGGAGCGAAAGCGUGGGGAGCGAACAGG
RNAcentral lists this ribosomal RNA (253 nucleotides) under uncultured bacterium. Its description in RNAcentral is "partial 16S ribosomal RNA". It matches the Rfam family "Bacterial small subunit ribosomal RNA", at positions 524 to 776 of the family's 1533-position model. The record is from RNAcentral.